Molecule: long non-coding RNA, 164 nt
Organism: Thrips palmi
Lineage: Eukaryota; Metazoa; Arthropoda; Insecta; Thysanoptera; Thripidae
Exons: 3
Source: RefSeq, a predicted model, not a curated record
GAGAUUGACCCUAUGAUUUUCCGAAGGCAGCAACGGCGAAUCAGGAAAAAGGCUACGCAUUUGCUGAAGGUUCCGAGUGGUGUGUGGGUCACCACUGAGGGAACGGCGAAGGCCUUGGACGCCAUGGGUUAUGUGGAGGACCGUAAAAGGUUCCAGCCCCGUCC